Zootoca vivipara (common lizard) is the source of this 3073-nucleotide non-coding RNA. NCBI's taxonomy places the organism in Eukaryota, Metazoa, Chordata, Lepidosauria, Squamata, Lacertidae. The record is from RefSeq and is a predicted model, not a curated record.
UCGGACGGGAAGCGAAGAAGGAGAUGUUUCGCUGCGAUCUGUGAGUGAGUGGAUUUCUCAAGGGCCAAAGGCUUUGUUGUGCAUAGUCAGGGCCUUAUUUACUUAUAUAAAUAAGCUUGUUUCCCUUCAAAGUUGGGACUUUAUUGUCCCAACAGGCUAUUGGGAACUGUCUGUUUUUAAGGAAAAGGCUGGUGCUGUGAUGUUUUAAUGGUGCUUAUCUGUAUGUUUUAACAGAUCUUUUAUUUGCAAUGUUUAAUUGUUUUUUUAAUAUUGUUUCCUCCCACACACAAACAAACACAUGUUUUUUGCUGUUUACUGCGUUUCAUUCCUGCCCCACUGGUUUUCUGUCCUCCCCCCACCCUCCACAAUCAUCACCAUUCUGUGACUACUUGUCCUCCCCGACCCACACCUUUUUUCUUUUUCUUAAAGGAAGAUAUAUUCCAGGGUUCUAGCCUCUUAUCAUGAAUCCAAGUGACACCUUGAAGUUAUGUAUUACAGCUUGAAGUUAUGUAUUCCAGGGUUUUCACUGCAAAACUUUCUGAUAAUGCAUAAACUCUCCUCUGACCAAUAUACUAUGGAUACAUACCUUGGAAAAACAGAGAAGAUCACAUGAAUUUUCACCAGGUUUUUAAAAAAGGUAAUGAGAAACUAAUCUGGAGAACUGCACAAGAUCAGAAAGAUAAAAACUAAGAGAAAUUGAAAUUGUUAGAUUCAUCCAUCCCUAUUCAAAACUUUGGUGUUUGCUAGGCAGACUCACUCAAGAGGAACGAUCAGAGGGCAUCCCUUCCAGGGUCUGACGGGUCUUCAUUAUAUGGCCUGUGGUAGCUGGUGAAUCCCCUUCUUUUCCUCUUUUCCCGUCUAGGAUGUGAGAAGCACCUUGCAAAGAAGUUCUGCAACUGAAUGGGACUUCUCCAUCAGAAGUCAGCAAAGGGAGACAUUUAAGAAUCCAAUGGAUUUCCUACCAAAGUUGAAGAGGUGGAUCUCAAAAUUCUGCAUUAAAACUCCCAUUCUGAAUGUUGGGAUGAAGGAUACCAAAGCAAAUGUCACUCUGGAUCCAGACACAGCCCGUCAAUGGCUCGUCCUGGACAAGGAUCAGAGAAAUGUGAUAUACGGAGACAAACAUCUAGUGGUGCUCAACAAUCCUGAGAGCUUCAGCUACUGGCAUUGUGUGUUGGGACAUGAGGGAUUCACAGCAGGCAGACAUUUCUGGGAGGUCACAGUGGAAAGUGCAGAAGGGUGGGGUUUGUGUGUUGCCAGCAAGUGUGUGUGGAGUAAGCGCGGCUUCAGAUUAAGGCGGCCUGGGGGAAGGGCCUGGGCUGUGAGGAUGGAGGGUGGUGAGUACGAGGUCCAAAACUGCCCUCGUCCCUCUCCUCUGUCCCUGAGUGAGAAGCCCAAGAGGAUCCGGGUGACUCUGGACUAUGAAGGGGGAUGUUUGUCUUUCUCUGAUGCUGACUCAGGAGCUGAACUCUACACCUUCUCAGAAGACUCAUUCUCUGGAGAAUCUGCCUCACAAGCCCAGUUGGAGUUUUGCUCACAAGCCCAGUUGGAGUUUCUCUCCACAUGUUAUAACACCACACCAGAAUGACUGAGGUGAAAACAUUUGCCAGUUUUGGCCUCUUUGCAGGGACCUUUUGAGAGGAGUCGCAGUCAGCAAAAAUAAGAAAAGAAACAAAACCUGGGAUUUUCUCUUUCCUUUCCUUUCCCAGAAUUUCCUCUGCAGCUGAGUCCUUAACAGACCAUAAUACUUUAACAGUGUCAAUUAACAAUCUGUUUAUCAAAAGGGUUUAGCCCAUAGCUGCCAAGUUAUCCCUUUUUUACAGGGAUUUUCCCUCAUGCUGAAUAGGCUUCCUCGCGAGAAAAGGGAAAACUUGGCAGCUAUGGUUUAGCCUCCACCAACUUUAACCCGCUUUUCAUUGCUCACCUACACCAGCUGUUAGAAUACACACAUAUUCCUAGAAAACACUCUGUUCCCACUUUUGCAACUCAAGCUCAUUGCCUUGUGGCUUUGAGUAACUGGUUUAAUAUACUGUGCUUUAAUCGUUAGAACUAUGUUGUUUUCUCUCUUGCUGGCUUUGGUGCUCUGUUAAUUGUUCAUGAUCUUCUGCUGUUUUUAUGGUUUUACAAUAGGUUUUUUUUGGGGGGGGACAGCUUUUGUAAUGUUUUCAAUCAAUUUUAUUUGUAUUUUAUGGAUUUGAAUCUUUGGUUAUUUGUGAGGUAUAUGCCAGUCCAAAAAACACCCAGUACUAAAGAAAAGCUCCAAAAGCUCCAUUGCUGACUGUUGAGGAGCCCCUCAACUUUUUGUGGGUAUGGUGAUGUGUCAUUGAUGCAAUAAUAGAGCCUAAUCAUGAAUUGAUGCUGGACUAUCCACACAUCCACUGUGCUUCAGUAGCUAUUCUGCAAUUCUUCCAGAAUGUUACCCCAUUUGAAUGGGUGCUCUUGGGCUUUAAUGAAACAAAAGGGGACCAAACAGAAAAUUUCAAGGGAACAUUUCUGGCAUGACAAUUUAUCCGAUUUCAGUAGGAAGCAACAGGACAUGUGGACUGAUAAGAAAUGAAGAAGUUACCGGUAGGACCACUGCAAUCUUUUGGAGGUACAAAAGGCCUUGAAACUGGGAUUGCAUGAGUUCCCAGAAAGCACUAUGCCUAGAUAUCAUCACAAUUACACAAUAAAAGGAAUAUAAAUCCUGGGAGUGUUUGCAUUUUGUGUUGGAGUGGGAUUAUUGCUGAGAGCUCCAACUCUGGGUGAAUGUGGGCUGGGGAUCAUAGUAAAAAAAGAAAAAGAAAACCCCAUUCUACCACUAUUUUAAUAUAUUCGAAGCUGGCACUCAUCUGUCUAGACCAGGCAUGGCCAAACUUGGCCCUCCACAUGUUUGGGACUACAAUUCCCAUCAUCCCUGACCACUGGUCCUGUUAGCUAGGGAUGAUGGGAGUUGUAGUUCCAAAACAUCUGGAGGGCCGGAGUUUGCCUAUGCCUGAUAUACAUCAUUACCUCAUUUCAUGUUUUAUACACAUGCACAAUAAGCACUGGCAAUUUCUGCUGAUUAAGUAUGCAUGUUAGGAACCUGUGUUACAUG